RNAcentral lists this ribosomal RNA (439 nucleotides) under uncultured bacterium. Its description in RNAcentral is "partial 16S ribosomal RNA". It matches the Rfam family "Bacterial small subunit ribosomal RNA", at positions 339 to 795 of the family's 1533-position model. The record is from RNAcentral.
CUACGGGCCGCAGCAGUGAGGAAUAUUGCACAAUGGGGGGAACCCUGAUGCAGCAACGCCGCGUGGAGGAUGACGCAUUUCGGUGUGUAAACUCCUUUUAUAUAUCAAGAAAAUGACGGUAGCAUAUGAAUAAGCACCGGCUAACUCCGUGCCAGCAGCCGCGGUAAUACGGAGGGUGCAAGCGUUACUCGGAAUCACUGGGCGUAAAGGACGCGUAGGCGGGUUGGAAAGUCAGGUGUGAAAUCCUACAGCUUAACUGUAGAACUGCACUUGAAACUUCUAAUCUAGAGUAUGGGAGGGGGAGAUGGAAUUAGUGGUGUAGGGGUAAAAUCCGUAGAUAUCACUAGGAAUACCUAAAGCGAAGGCGAUCUCCUGGAACAUUACUGACGCUGAGGCGUGAAAGCGUGGGGAGCAAACAGGAUUAGAUACCCGCGUAGUC